GACGAACGCUGGCGGCGUGCCUAAUACAUGCAAGUUGAGCGCUGAAGGCUGGUACUUGUACCAACUGGAUGAGCAGCGCACGGGUGAGUAACGCGUGUGGAAUCUGCCUUUGAGCGGGGGACAACAUUUGGAAACGAAUGCUAAUACCGCAUAAAAACUUUAAACACAAGGUUUAAGUUUGAAAGAUGCAAUUGCAUCACUCAAAGAUGAUCCCGCGUUGUAUUAGCUAGUUGGUGAGGUAAAGGCUCAUCAAGGCGAUGAUAGAUAGCCGACCUGAGAGGGUGAUAGGCCACAUGGGGAGUGGAACACGGACAAAACGCCUAAGGGAGGCACCAGUAGGCAACGUGCGGCAGUGGACGAAAGUCUUACCGAGCAGCGCCGCGCGAGUGAAGACGGCGUUCGGAGCGGAAAACCCUCCUGCUAGAUAAGAACGUUGUUGGGAGUUGAAAGAGCGUGAAGUGAGGGAAACGAUACAGAAAGGGAGGGUAAACUACGG
Molecule: ribosomal RNA, 496 nt
Filed under: uncultured bacterium
Lineage: Bacteria
Description: partial 16S ribosomal RNA
Rfam family: Bacterial small subunit ribosomal RNA
Source: RNAcentral